Molecule: long non-coding RNA, 14326 nt
Filed under: Cicer arietinum (chickpea)
Lineage: Eukaryota; Viridiplantae; Streptophyta; Magnoliopsida; Fabales; Fabaceae
Description: long non-coding RNA (CARI_LNC001314)
Source: RNAcentral
GAAUUGGUUCCUUUACCGUCGGAAAAGUCUUUAGUAGGAUGUCGUUGGCUUUAUACGGUGAAAGUUGGUCCUGAUGGAAAGAUUGAUCGUUUUAAAGCUCGUUUUGUAGCAAAAGGGUACACUCAAGUUUUUGGCCUCGAUUACAGUGAUACUUUCUCCCCUGUGGCUAAGAUGGCCUCUGUUAGACUACUCCUCUCUAUUGCAGCCAUCAGACAUUGGUCUCUACAUCAACUUGACAUUAAAAAUGCGUUUUUGCAUGGUGACCUUGAAGAAGCAGUGUAUAUGGAGCAACCACCUGGGUUUGUUGCUCAGGGGGAGUCCUCUACCAUGGUUUGUCGACUUCAGAGGUCUCUCUAUGGUCUUAAACAGUCUCCUCGAGCUUGGUUUGGUAGAUUUAGCACAGUAGUGCAACAAUUUGGCAUGAUUCGAAGUGAAGCUGAUCAUUCUCUUUUUUAUCGCCACUCAACCCAAGGGUACGUUUACUUGAUUGUCUAUGUAGAUGAUAUUGUCAUAACUGGUAGUGAUCAACAGGGCAUACUCCAAUUGAAACAACAUUUAUCUCAUCAGUUUCAAACUAAAGAUCUUGGCAAGCUUCGCUACUUCUUGGGUAUUGAGGUAGCCCUAUCUAAGGACGGCUUAGUAAUUUCAUAAAGAAAAUAUGCUAUGGAUAUUCUCGAAGAGAUAAGUUUGUUGAAUGCCAAACCAGUUGACACUCCUAUGGAUCCAAACACCAAACUUCUACCUAAUCAUGGGGAGCCAUUUUUAGAUUCAGAGAGAUACAGAAGAUUGGUUGGUAAAUUAAACUACCUCACAGUCACCCGUCCAGACAUUUCUUUUGCAGUCAGUGUGGUAAGUCAAUUCUUAAAUUCUCCUUGUCAAGAACACUGGGAUGCUGUGAUAUGAAUCUUGAAAUACAUUAAAGGUGCUCCAGAAAAAGGUCUAAUUUAUGAAAACAAAGGACAUACUCAGAUAGUUGGUUAUUCAGAUGCCGAUUGGGCAGGCUCACCCAUUGAUAGGCGAUCCACUUCUGGAUAUUGUGUACUUGUUGGAGGAAACUUAAUAUCUUGGAAGAGUAAGAAACAAAGUGUAGUUGCAAGAUCUAGCGCUGAAGCUGAAUACAGGGCUAUGGCAUUAGUGACCUGUGAGCUCAUUUGGUUGAAACAGUUACUCAAAGAGCUUCAAUUUGAAGAGGCAACACAAAUGACAUUAAUAUGUGAUAAUCAAGCAGCAUUGCACAUUGCCUCUAAUCCAGUUUUUCAUGAGAGGACCAAGCAUAUUGAGAUAGAUUGUCACUUUGUAAGGGAGAAGAUCGAAUCAGGCGACAUCACCACUAGUUUUGUUAAUUCCAAUGAUCAAUUGGCAGAUGUAUUCACUAAGUCUCUGAGAGGUCCUCGAAUCAGUUAUAUAUGUAACAAGCUUGGUUCAUAUGAUUUAUAUGCUCCAGAUUGAGGGGAAGUGUUGAAAAUAUAUUUAUAUUUAUUACAUAUCAUGUAAAUAGGGAUAAUAUCUUCCGUAUUUAUUUUUGUAUUUAUUGCCUUGAGCCUAUAUAAAACAGACUCCGUUGUGUAGCUCAGACACACGGUUUCACCAUAUGUCUUUCAUUUUCUCUUAUUCAACACAAACUAAUGAUACCAAAUCCAUCAUAUUCAAUAAUUCACAAUAAUCACAGGUAGGAAAAAAAAGGAUGGAGAAGAAGAAACCAAGAAAUCUGACUUUAGGAAAAUGUCACCAUAAUUAAGCAAGAAGCACAAGUCCUGGAUUAUCUUCACCAUAGCUUCCAUGUGCAACCCAUUUUUCAUAGAUUACCAUCCCUACAACACUGAAGGAGAAAUCACAAGUCCAUAACAAAGAAACAUAAACGAAAAGGACUCAUGAUGCAUAGAGAUCAGCAAAUCAAACUUCAGACGAUGGCGAUGGCUCAGCGCUAUGAAUGACAUAAUAUUUUGACAUUUUCGGAUAAAAUCCCUUGAAAAUGUCAACUUCAAUUAUUUUGAUUGCAGAUAGAAGUGCUCAAUAUAUCAACAAACAAUUUCAUCAAUUUCUAAUCCAAAGGCUGGUUUCUGUACCACGGUAAGGAAGAGGAUAUCUAAUUAGGAGGAGAGUGAUUCGUGUAGAUCAACAUUAUAAAAAAAAUUCAUUAAAAAAGUUUAGGUACUAAGCAAAUUCUUCCAAACAAAGAGCCGAGACUUGUUGACUGUUGUCCUUAAUUCUUCGGCUGACAUGUACGAAUUCUCUUAAAAAUACAAAGACACCCACAUUCCAGUUCACAGUGAAUAAAUCAAAUCUUAAGAUCAAACAUAAGGUCAACCAAUCUAGAACAGAAGCAUAGAAAAAAAUGAUUUUGUUCCCAUGGCCAUAAAUCAUGAUCAUUAUAAUCUUCUACACGGCUACCAGACCCCAACAAUAAUCAUAAUAACUCUGUAACGCAAUAAAAGAAAUGAAUUGAUAAAACUAAACACUCAAAAUAGAAAAGAAAAAUGAAGAAACACCAAUCUGUAAUCCAAUUAGAGAUAACCAUAUAGAAGGGAAGUCCAUCUUCACCAUAGUAGUGCCACAGUGUGGUCACAAAGAUUACCUCCCCUAUAACACCAAAGUAGAAAUCAUAAAUUGACAUAACUAGAUAAUUAAAGUCGACAAAGAAAUAAUGAUAUAUUGAUAAAACUAAACACUCAAAAUAGAAAAGGAAAAUGAAGAAACACGAAUCUAUAAUCCAAAUAGAGAUAAUCAUAUAGAAGGGAAAUCCAUCUUCGCCAUAGUUUCGAAGUGCCACAGUGUGGUCACAUAGAUCACCUCCCCUAUAACACCAAAGUAGAAAUCACAAAUUGACAUAACUAGAUAAUUAAAAUCGACAAAGAAAUAAUGAAAUGAAAAGAAUUUGAGGCAGUGGCUGACCAUUAUGAAGGACGUUACACUACACUGCAGAUCAACAGGUUAACAAUUCAGAAUGUGUGUGUGUGGUAUUAAAACAAUAGACAAAAAUUAAGUUAUGCAGAAAAAAUUAGAUUUAUCGAAAACCAUUUGCCAUCCUUAGCCUUCCACAAUCAGGAAUCUUAGAACGCUCUACACUUGAGCACAAGUAGUUCUUAGCCUUACAAGAAAAGGCAUAUGAGAACUCCUGCUUGCUGUAAAAUGCUUCACGUAUCUCUCUGAUCAAAUGAAAAAUAAUAUUCAAGGAAUCGACUUCAAAGAAUAGUCAAUAGUAUCAAUUACUUGAGAUCUUAAGCAUAUUGAUAAGCAAAUAACAAUCUCAACCAAGGAAAGCUUUUAUAUAAGAACAAACUCUGAAGUCGAAACAAUCCAGAUGCAGACAAUCAUCUUAAAGAAUUAAGGCACGUAAAAUGGGGAGAAGGAAAUUUUGUCCAAACCAAGAAGCAAGAAUGUAGAGCCCAACCGUGUCGUCCUAAAUUCCAACAUUCAGUUCACACUGCCAAGAAACCAAAUCUUAAAACCAAGCAUAAGGAUGACUACUAAAUAACAAAAAACAUGGAAAAAGUCAUUUUAUUCCCAAAGUUGGAGACUAUGAUCUUCUGCGACAGCUACCACACCCAAGAAGAAGUCACUAAAAGGAAUGAAACAAUUAAACUACCAAUAAUAGAAAGAUUGAAAACACUAAAUCCAUAAUCUGAAUAGAGAUAAUCUUAUUGAACAAAAAGAACAACUAAUCCUGGAUUAUCUCCACCAUAGCUUCCACGUGCCACCAAGAGCUUGAAAUGAAACAUUAUGAUCAAACAUUAUAAUGGAUAAAUAAAAAGUAUAAUAUUGUAUAGAAUCCAAAAUUACAACAACAUACACCUAUGAAUCAAUUAAAAUUAACAGAAAUCAAACCACCCUAACCACAAUUAUCCUAUAGAUUUAUAUAAUUCGAUUUUGAAACUUUGUCACAACUAAUAAUUAUUUUUUGUUAAUUUUUUUUUAACAUAAACAGUUUUUUCUUAUAAGAUUUAUCUAUUUUCAUACAUUCAAUCAAAUUCAUAUGUAAAAUUUUUCUCAAACUCACAUGUAAAAUUAUAAUUUUACUUUUGAGAAAUCACUCUAUACGAGACAUAACAAUCAUUAUAUACUCAUUCAGAGAGCCAAAAGGAAAUGAGAGAAGAGGUGACUCGAGGUGGGUGUGGAGAGAAGCUGAGAAAAGUAAGGUGACUGUGUUUAGACAUAAGAUAAGGAGAAAAUAGAUGUCUCUUAAAAGAAACUAAAAAUAGUAAUAUUUUUAAAAAAAUUAUUGAGGACUCUAAAUCCUAAAGAUUACCUUCCCUACAACACUAUUACAAAUCCUUAAAACUACACACCUGUAGCAAUGGCAUAGAGAUAAAAAACUACAAAAAAACAUAUAAUCAAAAUUUCAAACAUAUAAAACUCAAUAAUAUGAAAACAUAAAAGAUCAGCAAAACAAACUCGAGGUGGUAGCAAUGGCUCAAAGCUAUAAAUUGACGUUAUUUUUUUGAUAGACAGCUGCAGAAAUGCAGGUUAAAUCAAUGUGUGUUUUGUGUUGAGAGUUGAAACCAUAGCCAAAAAAUAAUAAUAGAGAAGAAAUUAAACUCAUCCAGAACAAUUGUAAAGCAUUCUUAAAGUUUAGAUCCAGUCAGAGCAAAACCUUCGAACAUGGAAGGGAACCCAAGAGUUAAGAAUUAUGAUUUCUUGAUUACCCCUAAUAGAAUAACCACUUAGAAUAAGCAAACAGAUGAAAUUUGUAAUAAAGUGAAAAAUUGUAUGGAUACGAUCAAUCAAUAAGCUCUUACUUUGCCUUGAAAGGGUGCUGCAUAGGUAGAUUAGAAGUUUCCAGCAAAAGAGAAUUUCUUUUUUAUUAAGUUCCAGGCUCCGGGCUUAAAAGCCGAAUUAGCCAUUGGGAUUGGUGUACAGACAAGACUGAUUGAGAUUCGUAAUUAGCAGCAACCAAAGAAUGCUGCAAAAGGAAUAGCCGGAAACACCUUUACAAAACCUACACAAGUAGUUGAAAACUGCAACACAUUAUUAAUCUCCAUAUUAUUAACCUCCAUGAUUAGUAAAGAAAUAAUACCGAAAGAAUUGACAGAGAAGCGUCAGAUUAUCGAGGUCUUCAUCAUAUCAAUAAGCAUACCCUAACAAUCCCUAAUUAUGGAUGCAGAACAUAAAAAUAAGUUUCCCUGAUAAAGGAACCAUAUAGAAACAAACCAUCUGGAAGACAAAACUCAAGAACAAUACCAGCCAACUCACGAAUAGAUUAAUAAAAAACAAUCCUUCUCUUGUUUGUUAUUAAACCUAAUAAUGUAGGAAUUCUUUGACAAUCUUUUCCUUAGCUUUUAAGUCAUUGUUGCCUCUCUUCUACAAGACUAAAGAGGGAAAAUCACAUAUGCAAAAUUUCAAAUUCUUACAACCAACAAAAUUACAUAAAUAAUUCAUGACAUGACGUGUGAAGAACAGCAAUGAAACUCAAGAGGUAUUAAGACUCGAACGCACCAAGAAGUUGCGCAUGUAUGGCUCAAAUCCAGAAACAAACCCUACCCAGAAAAGAAAAGAAACCCUACACAAUUAAGGACAUCAAACAGAUAAGCUGGUGAUACCAAACCACAUAAAUAUUUGAAACUGUGGAAAGAAAAAUAGUACCAACGGUGAAAACUAGAAAAGGUCACAAUAAUUAAGCAUGAAGCUAACUUCUUCAUAAAAUGUUGCCCAACAAUAUUCGAACACUCAACUGCACAAAAACAAAUUGCACUAAUUUAUUCAAAUGUGUAAUCCAUCAGACCAGAAAGAAAAAAAACACUAAACUCUUAAAACAAGUUAAAUGAUGAUAAAAGUUAUCUCAUAAUAUCCCUUGAAAAUUCCAACUUCAAUUAUGUUGAUUGAGGAUAGCAGUGCUCAAUAUAUUUUACAGAGAUCAACUUCAAAUGCAAAGGCAGGUUAGGAAGAAGAUUAGGGAGGAGGGAGAUUCCUGUAGUUCCAACAUUAUAAAAUAAUAUUCCAAUAGAAAGUAUAGGAGUAGCAAAAUUUUCCAAACCAAGAGGCAGGAACAAAGAGCCCAACCUUGUUGUCCUAAAUUCUCUGGCUGAGAUAGGAAAUAUUAUCUAACAUGUAUAGAAACCUGUGGAAAACACAAAGACACUGUCAAGAUAAUUAGAAUCAACAAAGAAAUAUUGAUAUGAAAAGAAUUCAUGAAAUACAGUUGAGAGCAACAAAUCAAGGCUGAACACUAUAAGGAUGUUACUAUUAUAAUACACUACGCUGCUGAAAAACAGGUUAACCAGCUUGCUGCAAAAUGAGAACUUCAACUCAUAAAUCUCUCAGUGAUCGAAUGAAGAAUAAUAUUCAAGGAAUUGACUUUAAAGGAUAGUCAAUUGAAGUAUAAACUUCUUGUGAUCUAAAGCAUAUCUAGAAGCAAAUCAUAACAUUCUCAACCAAGGAAGCAGGUCGGUCAUAAAUAAGAACAAACUCUGAAGUUGAACCCAUCUAGAAGCAGACAAUCAUCCAAAGAAUUAAGGCACUUCUAUCCACCUUUAUUUUAGAGAAGUCAACUUGUUUGUUGAAUUUGAAAAAAUAUGUUGAUUUCUAUAGUAAGAAUGAGUUUUUGUAGGUGGGAGGGAAAGUCAAAAGAGAUAGAAUAGAUUUUUCAUUAAUUAUACUAGAAUUUCCAAUUGGUAUUAAAAAUGCCAUAUUGUCUUAAUUAAUAUUCCAAAUUUCUAAUGACGCAGUUAGCAACGCAUUAUAAUCCACAAUUCAAUUUGAGGCACAUACGAAUUCGGUGAAAUUACGAAACUCAUUAAUUAACAAACAUAACAAAGAAGAGAGUUAUAGAUGUCACCCACUAGCUCAGUGGUGAUGAUCGUGUUAACUGCCUUGAAGUUACAAGACCCAAGUCCCUUGGUCGUGAUAAUAGCCAUCAAAUGCAGAAGAAGCAUGAUUCAUAACAUUGUUAUGCCCAUAGCAACUCUCCCCAGGUUUGAACCAACAAAUGACGAUCAUACGUAAUAAUCUAGAAAGAAGAAAACUUCAAUGUCUAAUAAAACAACAUAAACGUAUGAUAAACAAUAUUUGAACAUAGAAACUAAGGCUAAUUCAUUCAAUUGUUCCACCCUUGAGGAGCAAAGUAAUCCAAAAAGCGAGGUUAGCAUGUAUGUCUCUCUAAUUCUGAAACAAAUUCUGAAACAAACCCCUGACAGAACUAUGUUGAUAAGAAAUAAUUGAUAAGUGAUAACCGAUACGUGAUAAGUGAUAGCUAAUAAGUGAUAAAUUAUAGUUGAUAAGUGAUAAAUGAUAAGUGAUAAGUGAUAAAUAAUAAGUGAUAGCUAAUAAAUGAUAAGUAAUAACUAAUAAGUGAUAACUGAUAAAUAAUUGUUGAUAAGUGAUAGUUGAUAAGUGAUAAUCGAUAAGUGAUAGUUAAUAAGUGAUAAUCGAUAAGUGAUAGUUAAUAAGUGAUAAUCGAUAAGUGGUGACUAAUAAGCGAUAAGUGAUAGCUAAUAAGUAAUAGUUGCUAGUCGAUAAGUGAUAAAGAAGCAAGAAUACAACAAACACACACAAACUGAUGAUACCAAACCCGUUAUAUAUUUAAUAAUCCACAAAAAUCAGACUUCAAAAUCGUGAAAAGGAAGAGAAACAUGUCAAAAAAGAACCAAGAAUUCGAACUCCAAGAAAGUGUCCAUAAUUGUGCACAAAGCUAGAUUUAUCCGGUAAUGUUGCUCUCAAACACUUAACUGCACAAAAACAAGUGCACAAUUUAAUUCAUAUGUGCAAACAUUCAAAAAACAGAAAAAGACAAAGAAACUCAUCAAAGUAAAAUAAUCCUAAGCUGUUCAUUUGAGAAUGAUUUUAUUCUCAUGGCCACCAAAACUGUUAUAAUCUCCUAUCCAAUUGAGAAUGAUUUUAUUCUCAUGGCCACCAAAACUGUUAUAAUCUUCUACCACACCUACCAACAUUCAUAAUAAUCCUAUAACCACCCAUGAAGAAAUCACAAAAGGAACGAAUCAAUCAAUAAAACUAAAUACUCAAAAUCGAUAAGGAAGGCUGAAAAACAUCCAUAAUCCAAAUAGAGAUAAUCACAUUGAAUGAAAAGACUACCUUCCCUAUAGGAAGUCCUUGAUAAUCUCUGCCAUUGUUUUCACAUGCCACAGCGUGUUAAUAGAUUACCUACCCUAUAAUGAAGUACAAAUCACAAAUUGGGAUAACUAGAUAUUUAGAAUUGCAAAGAAAUAUUGAAAUUAGACUUUUCAUGAUAUAACUAGCAAAAGAGAUCAACAAAUCAAACUCGAGGUGGUGGCAGAACCCUAUGAAGGAUGUUUCUAUUAUGAUACACUACUCUUCAGAAAAACAUGUUAACAAUUCAGUGUGUAUGUCUGGUGUUAAAACCAUAGACAGAAAUAUCGAAAUGAGACUUCAUGAUAUAACUAGCAAUAGAGAUCAACAAAUCAAACUCGAGGUGGUGGCUGAACACUACGAAGAAGGAUAUUUCCAUUAUGAUACACUACUCUGCAGAAAAACAUGAUAACAAUUCAAUGUGUAUGUCUGGUGUUAAAACCAUAGACAGAAAAUAAAGGUAGUGCAGAAUAAAUUACAUCCAUCCAAAACCACAUCUUAAACACUCUACCCUGGAACACAAGUAGUUUUUAGCUUGCGGCAACAUGCUUCAACACAUUUUUCUCUCUGUGAUUAAAUGAAGAAUAAUAAUCAAAGAAUUGAUUUAAAAGAUAAGUAUCAGUUUUAGAGACGAACCAUGGAAUUAAGGCACUCAUCCUAAAGAAUUAAGGCACUCAUCUCCAAUCACCAUGGAAAAUGACAAAAUUCUUCUUGGUGACAUUAACUUUGUUGGAGGAAUUUGAAAAAGAUGUUCAUGUCAGUUAAUAAUGUGUUUGAAGGUGGAAAAGUCAUAAGAGGUUAAAUAGAAUUUCCAAUUGGUAUUAACUAUCGCAUUACUGUCUCAAUUAAAAUCUAAAAUUUCUAAUACAUAUCAGAUCCAAUUUGGAGCACAUAUGAAUUCAAGAGCAAUUACUCAAUAAUUAACCAACAUAUAACUAAGAAGAGAGUUAUAGAUGUCACUCACUAGGCUCAGUGGUGGUGAUCAUACCAGCUCCAUUGAAAUCACAAGACCCAAGAGACUCCCUUGAUUAUCAAAGGCAUAAGAAGCACGAUACAUAAAAUUAUUAUGAUCAUAGCAACUCUCACCAAGUUGAAUCUCCAAAUGCUGAACGUACAUAAUAAUCUAAGAAGAAACUUCGAUAUCUAAUAAAACUACUCAUACAGUUUUUCCACCUUAAAGAGCAAAUUUUGUACGCAAAAGUAAUCCAGAAAGCAAGGUUUGCAUGUAUCUUGAAACAAACCCCAACUAGUCAUGAAGACAAAAUCCACCAAGCAGAACUGUGUUGUGCACAUAUAUUUCUAAUCCUGAAACAAUCCCCAAUUGUUACAUGAAACAAACUAAUGAUACCAAACCCAUCAUAUUCAAUAAUUCACAAAAAUCAAAUCACAGAUAGGAAAAAAAGCAUGGAGAAGAAGAAACCAAGAAUUCUUGACUUUAGGAAAAUGUCACCAUAAUUAUGCAAGAAGCUAGAUUUUUCAGGUAUGUUGCUCAACUAUUUUCAAACAUUUCACUGCAGAAUAACAAAUGCACAAUUUAAUAUUCAUAAAAGUUAAAUUCACAAAAAUCAAAUCACAGAUAGGAAAAAAAGCAUGGAGAAGAAGAAACCAAGAAUUCUUGACUUCAGGAAAAUGUCACCAUAAUUAUGCAAGAAGCUAGAUUUUUCAGGUAUGUUGCUCAACUAUUUUCAAACAUUUCACUGCGGAAUAACAAAUGCACAAUUUAAUAUUCAUAAAAGUUAAAUAACCCUAAGCUCUUAAUUUUAUUAUCUGAUAGAAUCCCUUCAAAAUUCCAAUUUCCAUGAUUGCAUAUUGCAGCGAUUAAUAUAUAAAAAACAGACAACUUGGACUAGCAAAUUCAUCUAAAAAAAGAAGCAGGAACAAAGAACCCAACCAUAUCGUCCUAAAAUCCCACUGUCAACAAAUCAUAUCUUAAACCAAGCAUAGGGAUGACCAAUCCAAAACAGAGAUAGAAAAAAAGUGAUUUUAUUCCCAAGGUUGGAGACCAUAAUCUUUCGCUGCAGCAGCCACUGACAUUCAUAACCCUGUAACUUCAAAGAAGAAACAUCUAAAAGGAAUGAAUCGAUAAAAAUAAACACUUAGAGAUAAUACUAUUGAACAAAUAGAAUAACUCGUCCUGGAUUAUCUCCACCAUAGCUUCCACGUGCCACCAAGUGUUCAUAGAUUACCAUCCCUACAACAAUGAAGGAGAAAUCACAAGUCCAUAAAACUACACACUUAGAACUGACAAAGAAACAUAAACGAAAAGGACUCCUGUUGCAUAGAGAUCAGAAAAUCAAACUUCCGAAGAUGCCGAUGGCUCAGCCCUAUGAAUGACAUAAAUAUUUUGACAUUUUCAGAUAAAUCCCUUGAAAAUUUCAACUUCAAUUAUUUUGAUUGCAGAUAGAAGUGAUCAAUAUAUCUACAAACAAUUUCAUCAAUUCCUAAUCCAAAGGCUGGUUCUCUGUACCACUGUAAGGAAGAGGAUAUCUAAUUAGGAGGAGAGUGAUUCGGGUAGAUCAACAUUAUAAAAAAAUUCAUUAAUAAAGUUUAGUUACUAAGCAAAUUCUUCCAAACAAAGAGCCCAGACUUGUUGUCCUUAAUUCUUCGGCUGACAUGUACGAAUUCUCUUGAAAAUACAAAGACACCCACAUUCCGGUUCACAGUGAAUAAAUCAAAUCUUAAGAUCAAACAUAAGGUAAACCUAAUAAUGUAGGAAUUCUUUGACAAUCUCUUCCUUAGCUUUUAAGUCAUUGUUUGCCUCUCUUCUACAAGAGGUAUGAAGACUCGAACCCACCAAGAAGUUGCGCAUGUAUGUCCCAAAUCCAGAAACAAACCCUACCCCAGAAAGGAAAAGAAACCCUACACAAUUAGGGACAUCAAACAGAUAAGCUGGUGAUACCAAACCAGUAAUAUCAUGUGUUCAAUAAAUAUUUGAACACUCAACUGCACAAAAACAAAUUGCACUACUUUAUUCAAAUGUGUAAUCCAUCAGAAACCAGAAAAAAGAAACCAAACUCCUAAAACAAGUUAAAUGAUCUUAUAUGUUAUCUGAUAAUAUCCCUUGAAAAUUCCAACUUCAGUUAUGUUGAUUGCAGAUAACAGUCCUCAAUUAAUUUUAGAGACAAUUUGAUCAACUUCUAACGCAAAGGCAAGUUAGGAAGAAGAUUAGGAAGGAGAGAGAUUCCUGUAGUUCAACAUUAUAAACAAUAUUCCAAUAGAAAGUAUAGGUAGCAAAAUUUUCCAAACCAAGAGGCAGGAACAAAGAGCCCAACCUUGUUGUCCUAAAUUAUCCGCGGCUGAGAUAGGAAAUAUUAUCUAACAUGUACAGAAACCUGCGGAAAACACAAAGACACCCACAUUCCAGUUCACACUAUCAAGAAAUCAAAUCUCAAGACAUAAGGACAACCAAUCUAGAAAAAAUGAUUUUAUUCCCAAGGUUGUCGAAAACCAAGAUCUUAAUCUUCAACCACAGCCACAACAUCCCACCAACAUAACCCUGUAACACCCAAGAAGAAAUCACAAAAAGGAAUGAUUUGAUAAAACUAAACACUCGAAAUUGAUAAGGAAGACUGGAAACCCAAAUCCACAGUCCAAAUAGAGAUAAUCAUAUUGAAUGAAAAGAAUUUUUGUCUUGAUUGUGUUUAAAAACCUAAAGCUGAAGAGGAAGUCCUUGACAAUCUAUGCCAUAGUUUCCAUGUGCCACUGCGUGUUCAUAUGUUAUCUCUCCUAUAACACCAAAAUAAAAAUCACAAAUUUAGGUAACUAGAUAAUUAGAAUCAACAAAGAAAUAUUGAUAUGAAAAGAAUUCAUGAAAUACAGUUGAGAGCAACAAAUCAAGGCUGAACACUAUGAAGGAUGUUACUGUUAUAAUACCCUAUGCUGCUGAAAAACAGGUUAACAAUACAAUGUGUAUGACUGGCGUUAAAACCAUAGACAAAAAAAUAAAGGUAAUAUAGAAUAAAUUAGAUUAAUCCAAAACCAUUUGCCAUUCUUAGCCUUCCAAAUCAAGAAUCUUAAAACACUCUUACACUUGAUAGUGGAUAAGUGAUAAGUAUUAUCAAGUCUUUAGUAGGAUGUCGUUGGCUUUAUACGGUGAAAGUUGGUUCUGAUGAUAAGAUUGAUCGUUUUAAAGCUCGUUUGGUAGCAAAAGGGUACACUCAAGUUUUUGGCCUCGAUUACAGUGAUACUUUCUCCCCUGUGGCUAAGAUGGCCUCUGUUCGACUACUCCUCUCUAUUGCAGCCAUCAGACAUUGGUCUCUACAUCAACUUGCCAUUAAAACUGCUUUUUUGCAUGGUGACCUUGAAGAAGAAGUGUAUAUGGAGCAACCACAUGGGUUUGUUGCUCAGGGGGAGUCCUCUACCAUGGUUUGUCGACUUCAGAGGUCUCUCUAUGGUCUUAAACAGUCUCCUCGAGCUUGGUUUGGUAGAUUUAGCACAGAAGUGCAACAAUUUGGCAUGAUUCAAAGUGAAGCUGAUCAUUCUCUUUUUUAUCGCCACUCAACCCAAGGGUGCAUUUACUUGAUUGUCUAUGUAGAUGAUAUUGUCAUAACUGGUAGUGAUCAACAGGGCAUACUCCAAUUGAAACAACAUUUAUCUCAUCAGUUUCAAACUAAAGAUCUUGGCAAGCUCCACUACUUUUUGGGUAUAGAGGUAGCCCAAUCUAAGGACGGCUUAGUAAUUUUACAAAGAAAAUAUGCUAUGGAUAUUCUUGAAGAGACAGGUUUGUUGAAUGCCAAACCGGUUGACACUCUUAUGGAUCCAAACAUCAAACUUCUACCUAAUCAUGGGGAGCCAUUUUUAGAUUCAGGGAGAUAGAGAAGAUUGGUUGGUAAAUUAAACUACCUCACAAUCACCCGUCCAGACAUUUCUUUUGCAGUCAGUGUGGUAAGUCAAUUCUUAAAUUCUCCUUGUCAAGAACACUGGGAUGCUGUGAUACGAAUCUUAAAAUACAUUAAAGGUGCUCCAGGAAAAGGUCUAAUUUAUGAAAACAGAGGACAUACUCAGAUAGUUGGUUAUUCAGAUGCCGAUUGGGCAGGCUCACCCAUUGAUAGGCGAUCCACUUCUGGGUAUUGUGUACUUGUUGGAGGAAACUUAAUAUCUUGGAAGAGUAAGAAACAAAGUGUAGUUGCAAGAUCUAGCGCUAAAGCUGAAUACAGGACUAUGGCAUUAGUGACCUGUGAACUCAUUUGGUUGAAACAGUUACUCAAAGAGCUUCAAUUUGAAGAUGCAACACAAAUGACAUUAAUAUGUGAUAAUCAAGCAGCAUUGCACAUUGUCUCUAAUCCAGUUUUUCAUGAGAGGACCAAAUAUAUUGAGAUAGAUUGUCACUUUGUAAGGGAGAAGAUCAAAUCAGGCGACAUCACCACUAGUUUUGUUAAUUUCAAUGAUCAAUUGGCAGAUGUAUUCACUAAGUCUCUGAGAGGUCCUCGAAUCAGUUAUAUAUGUAACAAGUUUGGUGCAUAUGAUUUAUAUGCUCCAGCUUGAGGGGGAGUGUUGAAAAUAUAUUUAUAUUUAUUACAUAUCAUGUAAAUAUGGAUAAUAUCUUCCAUAUUUAUUUUUGUAUUUAUUGCCUUGAGCCUAUAUAAAACAGACUCCGUUGUGUAGUUCAGACACACGGUUUCACCAUAUGUCUCUCUCAUUUUCUCUUAUUCAACAAAUACGAUAACAACAUAAUUAAAUUUAUUUAUUGAUUCAUCGUUUAAAUAAUAUAUUUUUUAUUUUAAAAGAAUUUUAAUUUUAUUAUAAUUAAUUUACAUGAGCCUAUAAUUCGAAGAUAUAAUAAUUAAGUUUUGUUAUUUUUCUGCAUGUAAACCUAUUAACAUUAUAUUGAAAUAUGAGAUGACAACCUAAAAUUAUUUUUCAUAAAUUUUCUUACAAUAUAUUUAGACUUUAAAUUUUAUAUACAAUAAACUACAACUUCAAAAGUACAUAUUUUUCUUAAGCAUUAAUUGAACAUUUCAUUGUAUAAAUUAAUAAUUAAUAUCAUACAAUAUCAUUAAAAAAAAUAGUAUCUACAACAUGCCAUAAACAGAAAUGUAAAAACUAAAUAAUAUUGUUCACAAUUUAAUACUAUAGCAUAGCAUGUUUCGAGUACAUCUCUAAGAUGGUUUUAAAUUAAAUAUUUCUUCAAAUAAUUUGACUAGAAUAAGCUUUAAUUAAAACUAUAUCUAAUUUUUUAUCCAAUUUCAAAUUUUUGGAGUUUCUUUCUUAAAGAAAGACCAAAAAGUUAAGAAAAAAAAAAUACAGAUAAAACAAAACUAACAUCCAAAAUGCAAGAAAAAAUGCU